This is a long non-coding RNA of Capsicum annuum, 698 nucleotides long. RefSeq lists it as uncharacterized. Lineage: Eukaryota; Viridiplantae; Streptophyta; Magnoliopsida; Solanales; Solanaceae. The transcript is spliced from 2 exons. The record is from RefSeq and is a predicted model, not a curated record.
AAUUAUUCAAGAACAUAUAGAUCUUGGUCUAGACACAUCUAGAUAUCUAACUUUAGUUUCUCUCUUAAAUGAUCCUCAAAUCCAUCUUCUUAGAGAGACUCAUAUCUGGCUAACAAAACAAGUCAUAACAUGGUGGUGGAAUUCUUCUCUUUAUGUUCUCAAUAUAUGAGGCGAUUAUUUGUGUGAGAGAUUUAAUCUCGCGACUUGUUUGACAGACUUUAUCACAUGCAUGUGAGAUAUAAACUUAAAUUCAACACAAAAGUGUUCGUUGAUGAGAAAGUAAUAACAAUCAAUUUAUUUUACAUUAAAAAAUGCAAUCAUAUCCUACACAAAAUUAGAGUCAUAAGAUAUUUCUCAAACAAGUCUCUGGAUGUCAUCGUUGUUAAGGGAUCAACUAUCAUUUCUCAUAUCAUGCAUCCUCAAAGAUCUGAAGCUCACGGAAACACCUCUGUCUCACCCGAGCCAGGAUUGAAUUGAUAGCUACUAACCAGACCUAUAGUAUAACAAAUGUUUGGGCGAGUACACAUCAUAGAGUACUUCAAGCUCCCAACAACACUACGAUAUAGAAUUUGAGAUGUGUCUUUUUUUUUUUUUUUAAUUCUUCGAACAUAUUUAAAGGCAUAAAUUUUUACAUCUAGCAACAGAAGCACUCAUGGAUUUUCAACUAUUCAAUCAAGAAUGUUUCAAAAUUUCCUUUA